CCAGUCCUGGCACCCAGUAUAUAUGGCAAUUUACAGACAUGGCGAAUGUUCGAUGGCCACCUUCCGUCUAAUUCUCGAUAGCUAAGGAGGACCUCUGGACCGGGGCAGAACAUCACGCCAUUCGCUGACUGGACUCAGGAGGCCUUCCACUCUGCCUGCCAGAUGAGUGUGUUCAUAAAGAAGGACCGCCCCUGGGAUCUCCUGCGGAAAGUGUGUGCCCGGAACGCAGAAGAGGCUUAACCAGCGUACGCACAGAAAAGAGACCACUAUCCACAACGCACCAAAAGUAAAGUAUCUUAUUUCUCCUCAAAGUUCAUGCCCAUGCUGACAUGACUGAAUUUAAUCAAUUUCAGCAUAUGUCCCUGGACCUCAUGCCUGCUGAACUGUUUCCCUGAGAUCCACAGCACAUUAUGAUUUGUUAGAAUUAUCCAACACAGAAAACUCAAAUAUUAAUAUGGCCAAGUAAGGGAGGGUGCUGUAUAUGGUUGCAAAAAAGGAAGUCUGUCCACAGCCUGAGAGAGAGGAGGGAACUACGUCUACGCUGACAACACUUUUCUCAAACUAACAGUUUUCUGUACCCUCCCGUUAAGGAGCAACCGGCAACUAGUCUGUACAAGAGAACAAGACAGAUCGGAGCACGUCCAAGCACAGGGCCAGGUUCUGACAAAGCCGCAGACGCCAGGUGAAGGAAACAGCCACUGGUUUGGGUCCCCAGCACAACCUGCUGACAGGUUUGUCUAUGAGGGGCGUAUCUACACAGGCGUGAGUCUGCGUGCCUACAGGUUCACCUGCGUGUGCGCCACACAAAUGCUCACGUCGUGCCUGGUCUCCUCCAGGUAUUAAGCACAACUGUUCAUUUUAGAAUACCUGACAGUAACAGGUAGCUCGCUGAAGGCGUGCUCUGCGCCAGGCCCGCGGUCCCCUUCCGUGUUAACCUUUGCAAGGAUACAAGUGAGCAAUACUGCUGUCAUCAUUUUACAGAUGAGGAAUCUCAGGUGAGAGUCAAAGUCAGAGCCGUCUACUCAAAAGGCCAAUGUCUUAAUACUUACCUUAUUCAGGUCUCUCAGAGCAGAAUUAGCUGAUCUUGACUGAAUUUAAAUGUUGGCAGCUGUUAUAUACAUCUUCCUGGCCAGCCUCGUUCUUCUCCACUUGGAACCUACCUACUCGGCCACCUGUUGGACAUCCCUGGCUAGAUCCCAAGAGGCACCUCCAGCUUGGCUGGAACCUGACCUGAAGCAGGUUCUGUCCUGCUCUCCUGCUCCUCCCCAGCGCUGGGGCCUUAAGCCAGAACCUGAAGCCCACGUGAACCCGCCCCUCCUUUUGCAUCCUGCAUCCCAUCCCCAAGUCCUGCUGCCUCCCAAAGCUCUCCAUGCCCAUCUGCUCUUCCCCGGCCGCACCCAAGCUAGGGCCACCUCUGUGUCUCACUGGGACUCCCCUUGUGCCUCCAAGCGGCACUCAGCCAUCUGGCUGGCACCCCGGAAAGCCCUUUCAACCUCCUCUGACCUGACACUCUCUCUAAAGACACGCCACGGACGAGUCGUCCCCAGUUUUGGGCUCCGCACAUCCUCAGCACGGGCACUGAGGCCUGGAGGGUCUCUCCCGGCUCGUGUCCUGCACCUCAGCCCACCGGCUACCACUCUCCCUCCUCCAGUCUCGCUGAACUUCACGCCGUUCCUGUAACAGAACAUGCUCUUCCAUCGGUGUUUGGUGUGGGGGUGGGGGGGGGCAAGUGGCGCUCUGCAGGGAGCGCCUGCCCUGCUGCCCCCAGAAGGUCUUUCAAACACCCCAGCUCUGGGCUCCAGGGCCCUCGCCACAGCACCGUGCUGCACCGCUGUGCCCUGUUUUCUCGUCGAAAUACCCACUGCACCUUAAGAACCAUAAAAGCAGGAAAAAUAUUUACCCUGUCUCCCCAACAUCCUGUCUCCCCAAUAUUACAGAGCCUGCACACAGCAGGUGCUCAGUAAAUACUGUUAACGAGUGAUUCAAUGAUUACUGUAAAAC
Long non-coding RNA from Equus caballus (horse), 2001 nucleotides. Lineage: Eukaryota; Metazoa; Chordata; Mammalia; Perissodactyla; Equidae. The record is from Ensembl.